GAGCGUUACACCCUCAUUCUGCUACUGCAAUGCUAGCUAGUCUGUCAUAUGUGUGAUGUUUUCCGAAGCGGCUGUCAGUCUCAGAGCUGUCUGCUUAAACGUCUAACAGCAGAUCCUCCUGCUGACGAGGAAGAGGAAGUUAAGGAGCAGCGGUUGAGUUAACUAUUGAGUCCUACUCUUCACCUCAGACAGCCAGAAAUCCCAGCCUUGUAGGCGCGAUGGCGUCCCCCUUUUUCCUCGGCCUAACGGGAUUAGUCGUGCCAGUGCUACCCCGGCUGUCACGAGGUGCAGCAGGAUCUGCAGUCUGUGAUGUUGCCUCAGGGAGAGAUUAGGAGGGGCAGCCGGCCCUCUGUGUCACGUCGACAGUCACAGCGCCCAUCCACGGCUGGGCCAAACCCCACUGGGACCUUAAAUCCUGUUACACUGUCAGCUAAAACCAUCAUUUGUAUUAGAGAUGUGUGGGUGUUUAAGUGUGUGUACAUAUUAAGUGAGGGGGGAUAGUGUCUUAAACUAUGAAUUAUUCAUACCAAAAAGAAAAGGAGAUAUUGACUACAUCUCCAUAAACAGA
This is a long non-coding RNA of Scatophagus argus, 568 nucleotides long. RefSeq lists it as uncharacterized. Lineage: Eukaryota; Metazoa; Chordata; Actinopteri; Scatophagidae. The record is from RefSeq and is a predicted model, not a curated record. The transcript has 4 exons.